Molecule: unclassified non-coding RNA, 101 nt
Organism: Otolemur garnettii (small-eared galago)
Lineage: Eukaryota; Metazoa; Chordata; Mammalia; Primates; Galagidae
Rfam family: Y RNA
About the family: Y RNAs are components of the Ro ribonucleoprotein particle (Ro RNP), in association with Ro60 and La proteins. The Y RNAs and Ro60 and La proteins are well conserved, but the function of the Ro RNP is not known.
Source: Ensembl
GAUUGCUCUGAAGGUAGUGAGUUAUUUCUACUUUUGUUCAGUCAGAACUCUUUGCUAGUGUUCUUUCCCUUCUUCUCACUACUGCACCUGAGUAGUUUUAA